This 1137-nucleotide ribosomal RNA is filed under the name uncultured organism. Its description in RNAcentral is "bacterial SSU rRNA". It matches the Rfam family "Bacterial small subunit ribosomal RNA", at positions 311 to 1435 of the family's 1533-position model. The record is from RNAcentral.
CACUGGAACUGAGACACGGUCCAGACUCCUACGGGAGGCAGCAGUGCUGAAUUAUUCGCCAAUGCGCGAAAGCGUGACGGUGCGACGCCGCGUGCGGGACGAAGGCUUUCGAGUCGUAAACCGCUGUCAGGGUCUAGGAAACCGCAGUCGUUAAUAGCGGCUGUGCUGACCAGGCCCAAAGGAAGCACAGGCUAAUCUCGUGCCAGCAGCCGCGGUAAUACGAGAUGUGCAAGCGUUGUUCGGAAUCACUGGGCAUAAAGGGUGCGCAGGCGGCUUAGUAAGUCAGGGGUGAAAUCCCUCGGCUCAACCGGGGAAUUGCUUUUGAUACUGCUAAGCUUGAGAGCGAAAGGGGCAAGUGGAAUUCCAGGUGUAGCGGUGGAAUGCGUAGAUAUCUGGGAGAACGCCGAUGGCGAAGGCAGCUUGCUGGGUCGCUUCUGACGCUCAGGCACGAAAGCUAGGGGAGCAAACAGGAUUAGAUACCCUGGUAGUCCUAGCUGUAAACGUUGGGUACUAGGUUCCGGGAUUUCUGAUGAUUUCGGGGCCGCAGUUAAUGCAUUAAGUACCCCGCCUGGGGAGUAUGGUCGCAAGGCUAAAACUCAAAGGAAUUGACGGGGGCUCACACAAGCGGUGGAGCAUGUUGUUCAAUUCGAAGCAACGCGAAGAACCUUACCUGGCCUUGACAUGCUAGAAGUACGAACCUGAAAGGGGGAGGACCGGUAUCCAGUCCGGAACUAGCACAGGUGCUGCAUGGCUGUCGUCAGCUCGUGUCGUGAGACGUUGGGUUAAGUCCCGUAACGAGCGAAACCCUUGUCGUCUGUUGCUACCAGGUAAUGCUGGGCACUCUGGCGAGACUGCCGGUGUUAAACCGGAGGAAGGUGGGGACGACGUCAAGUCAUCAUGGUCCUUACGGCCAGGGCUACAAACGUGCUACAAUGGCAGGUACAGAGAGAAGCGAUACCGCGAGGUGGAGCAAAUCUUCAAAACCUGCCCCAGUUCGGAUUGGAGGCUGCAAUUCGCCUCCAUGAAGUUGGAAUCGCUAGUAAUCGCGGAUCAGCAACGCCGCGGUGAUACGUUCCUGAGCCUUGUACACACCGCCCGUCAAGCCACCCAAGCUGGAAGCACCCGAAGUCCGGCGCC